Molecule: small nuclear RNA, 105 nt
Filed under: Thielaviopsis punctulata
Lineage: Eukaryota; Fungi; Ascomycota; Sordariomycetes; Microascales; Ceratocystidaceae
Source: RNAcentral
UAGACCACUUGUGCUAACAUUCUCCCUAGAAACGAUACAGAGAAGAUUAGCAUGGCCCCUGCACUAAGGAUGACACGCUACAUCAAAGAGAAGCUGCAAAUUUUU